CUGGAGGUAUCAGAAGUGCGAAUGCUGACAUAAGUAACGAUAAAGCGGGUGAAAAGCCCGCUCGCCGGAAGACCAAGGGUUCCUGUCCAACGUUAAUCGGGGCAGGGUGAGUCGACCCCUAAGGCGAGGCCGAAAGGCGUAGUCGAUGGGAAACGGGUUAAUAUUCCCGUACUUGGUGUUACUGCGAAGGGGGGACGGAGAAGGCUAUGUUGGCCGGGCGACGGUUGUCCCGGUUUAAGCGUGUAGGUGUGUGUUCCAGGUAAAUCCGGUUCACUUUAACACUGAGGCGUGAUGACGAGGCACUACGGUGCUGAAGCAACAAAUGCCCUGCU
Molecule: ribosomal RNA, 332 nt
Filed under: Salmonella enterica subsp. enterica serovar Derby
Lineage: Bacteria; Pseudomonadati; Pseudomonadota; Gammaproteobacteria; Enterobacterales; Enterobacteriaceae
Also listed under: 1 other name
Description: partial 23S ribosomal RNA
Rfam family: Bacterial large subunit ribosomal RNA
Source: RNAcentral